UAAUACUAUACCUGCAAGAAAACUGUCAAUGGAUAUAUAAUCAAAGCAAUAUUAAAUAUGCAUGCAUGCUUUUUCAUGAUUUUACUUUGGCUUUUACCCAAUCUUACCGGUUAACCUUGUUAACCCCAAUAACUCACAACCCAAAAUCCCUUUCGUUCGGGGAGGCGCUAAGCACUACAAGACCCGAGGGACCGUCUUCGGGGACCGCGCUCCCCGUGGUGACAAUUCCGGAACGCACCGCUUGAGGGGGAGCUACCACCCUCAAGCCAAGACUUAUCGCGAGUAUCGAUUCAAUUCCCACUUAGGGAAUGUAUAGCCACUAGCCACGAUGCCA
RNAcentral lists this long non-coding RNA (334 nucleotides) under Ananas comosus (pineapple). RNAcentral describes it as "long non-coding RNA (ACOM_LNC022275)". Lineage: Eukaryota; Viridiplantae; Streptophyta; Magnoliopsida; Poales; Bromeliaceae. The record is from RNAcentral.